GUCUGUGUCCAUACCACCCUGAAAAGCACCUGAUUUUGUCUGGUCUCAGAAGCUAAGCAGGGUUGGACCUACUUAGUACUUGGAUGGGAGAAUGCCCAGGAAUACUAGGUGCUGUAGGCU
Molecule: ribosomal RNA, 120 nt
Filed under: Procavia capensis (Cape rock hyrax)
Lineage: Eukaryota; Metazoa; Chordata; Mammalia; Hyracoidea; Procaviidae
Source: RNAcentral